GGCUCAGGAUGAACGCUAGCUACAGGCUUUAACACAUGCAAGUCGAGGGGGAAACGACAUUGGAAAGCUUGCUUUUGAUGGGCGUCGACCGGCGCACGGGUGAGUAACGCGUAUCCAACCUGCCCACCACUUGGGGAUAACCUUGCGAAAGUAAGACUAAUACCCAAUGAUAUCUCUAGAAGACAUCUGAAAGAGAUUUAAAGAUUUUAUCGGUGAUGGAUGGGGAUGCGUCUGAUUAGCUUGUUGGCGGGGUAACGGCCCACCAAGGCGACGAUCAGUAGGGGGUUCUGAGAGGAAGGUCCCCCCACAUUGGAACUGAGACACGGUCCAAACUCCUACGGGAGGCAGCAGUGAGGAAUAUUGGUCAAUGGGCGAGAGCCUGAACCAGCCAAGUAGCGUGCAGGAUGACGGCCCUAUGGGUUGUAAACUGCUUUUAUAAGGGAAUAAAGUGAGCCUCGUGAGGCUUUUUGCAUGUACCUUAUGAAUAAGGACCGGCUAAUUCCGUG
RNAcentral lists this ribosomal RNA (506 nucleotides) under uncultured bacterium. RNAcentral's name for it is "bacterial SSU rRNA". It matches the Rfam family "Bacterial small subunit ribosomal RNA", at positions 21 to 507 of the family's 1533-position model. The record is from RNAcentral.